AUACUUCGACAGCAUGUAUACUAAAGUAGUAAUGAUACAGAGAUUAGUAAGGCCCCUGCAUGAGGAUGACAUGAAGAUUUUGUGAAAUGUUCCAUAUUAUU
This is a small nuclear RNA of Otolemur garnettii (small-eared galago), 101 nucleotides long. The record is from Ensembl. Lineage: Eukaryota; Metazoa; Chordata; Mammalia; Primates; Galagidae.